GGGAAUUGUAGUUCCUCCGUGGAGUCCGGGACUCAGACUCAGCAGCUAAGCGACGGUGCCAUUCCCGACGCUUCUCGGUAGGGAGUGGAAGGCAGCCUGUUUCCCCGAACCCGCGCUGUGCUGGCUUCUGGUCCUGAGUAGGGAAGCGCUUGGCGCACCGCGGGAUACAGCUCUCUCGGACACUGUUUGCUGAGCAUCUUUUCUGAAGCCCUCGCACGUCAUCGUAGCACUGGGCAGGCUGGGGCAGCGGGGUCCCAGGUCUGUACUGCAUAGCAAGUUCUCUGAUAGCCCAGGCUAGGUUACAGAGGCAGCCCCGGUUUUCUAAAGUAUCCAAACAAAGUAGCAUCAAGAGACGGCAUUUUGUAUUUGGUAGGUCAUAGAAUGAGACUCAACUGGGUUUCCUAAAGAGAGAAGGGGAGCUGAAAUUCAUCACGUUUGUUGAAUGAAGAAACAAUGGGAACGCUAUUUAGAGAUGUUGUAGACCUUAGAGACCCCAGGAAGGCGCGGAGCUUCCACCCGCCCCCUACUCAGGACCGCUGGGACUGCGAGCUCGCGGCGCCCAAAGUACUGAAUUUGGUUGGCUUUCAGGGACGCCGGGUUUCCAGGGCCCCUGCAAUGGGCGGGGACAGUUAAUUCAUUGGGGCCGGAACAAAACCAACUUGAGAAUUUAAAGGUAAACACAUUUUUAAUCUAAGAAGCAAGAACAAUUAGCAAUCAACUGGAUCUUAAAGCUUCAGUUUCCAAAAAAUUCAACAGAUGACACACUAUUAUCACACUUCGGAUCAAGGUGUUUUGUUCCUCACCUUCUUACAAUAGAGAACUGUACAACCAGGAAGACAAAUAACUGCAACAAAUCAUUGGCUAUUAGUGCUUCAAAUAUUUACACCAAAAUAAUGACGUGUGUGAGAUGUGAAACUGCAAAGGAUCACCAGAGGUGAGAAGGAGAUUUUAAGAGAGGGAGACCCGGAUAGACAUAGUAUUGGAAUACAAGGGAAUGAAUACAAGGAGCACAAAACAGACAGACUAUUUAGUAGAGGAAGGGGACCAGGGAGCUUUAGGAACCGCGGGGUUAGGGGUAGAGGGGCUGGAGGCAGGAAAAAAAGGAAACACAUUAGAAUGAGAUAUUAUUGUCAUGUGUAUAAAUGCCAUUAUGAGACUCAUUGAGAAUGCUAAUUUAAAAAAUUAAUUUAAAAUCAACACAGCACCACUAAAUACUAGUUUUUUCAACAUACUGUAAGAAAUAUGCGGUUAAAUAGAAUAGAAGAACUUAAUCGGGUUAUGCAAAUUAUGCGAAGUUUCCAAAUCCCUUGAGGAAGACUAGAAGUCACUUGAAAUACAGGUAUUUGUCACUUCUAAAAUUGUGAAAAUGUGUUCUUUUCAGUUUUCCAGUCAAUAAAUAAACCAGUAAAUAAAACUUCCCAUUGGGCACAGU
RNAcentral lists this long non-coding RNA (1432 nucleotides) under Mus musculus (house mouse). Its description in RNAcentral is "long non-coding RNA chr3:96057908-96059340". Lineage: Eukaryota; Metazoa; Chordata; Mammalia; Rodentia; Muridae. The record is from RNAcentral.